Long non-coding RNA from Neltuma alba, 443 nucleotides. RefSeq lists it as uncharacterized. The record is from RefSeq and is a predicted model, not a curated record. The transcript has 3 exons. NCBI's taxonomy places the organism in Eukaryota, Viridiplantae, Streptophyta, Magnoliopsida, Fabales, Fabaceae.
CUGCUCUUCUUCUUUUCUUGGCCGAAAGAUUUCCCCAUCUUCUUGAUGGUCGAACGAGUUCUGUUCUGCCUCGUUCUUUGCUUUUGUCAGUUGCCGGAGUUCUUCAAUGUAUGAGUUUCUGCCUCGUUAUUAUGACUGGAGCGAUCAAACCCAGAAACCCCAUAUAGCGGUGUUGGACUUGGCUAGCGGGAUCUUCGUUGGCUAGCGAGGUGCUUCAUUAGUGUCUGUGCUAGUUGUUGGCUAACUUUGUCGUCCAAACUGUAAUUAUUGCUAGCCACUUACUGUGUCGUGGAGGCAUACAUCGGUGAUUUGGGUUUGAUUAACUAGUAUGAUUGAUGAAUGGAAUGUGAUUCUCAUGAUGAGAGGGAACUAAGAGUCCAUGGAAAACGUGAAUUAAUUCAAUCAUCACUGGCAUGGAAAAAGGGUAGUGUUGGAAAAUACUU